RNAcentral lists this ribosomal RNA (399 nucleotides) under uncultured bacterium. RNAcentral describes it as "partial 16S ribosomal RNA". It matches the Rfam family "Bacterial small subunit ribosomal RNA", at positions 360 to 776 of the family's 1533-position model. The record is from RNAcentral.
AAUCUUGGACAAUGGGCGCAAGCCUGAUCCAGCCAUGCCGCGUGAGUGAAGAAGGCCUUAGGGCUGUAAAGCUCUUUCGCCCGCGAAGAUAAUGACGGUAGCGGGCGAAGCAGCCCCGGCUAACUCCGUGCCAGCAGCCGCGGUAAUACGGGGGGGGCUAGCGUGGUCCGGAGUCACUGGGCGUAAAGCGCGCGUAGGCGGCCUGUUAAGUUGGAUGUGAAAGCCCGGGGCUCAACCUCGGAGGCGCAUCCGAAACUGGCGGGCUGGAGUCCGGGAGAGGGCGGCGGAAUUCCCAGUGUAGAGGUGAAAUUCGUAGAUAUUGGGAAGAACACCGGUGGCGAAGGCGGCCGCCUGGUCCGGCACUGACGCUGAGGCGCGAAAGCGUGGGGAGCAAACAGG